RNAcentral lists this unclassified non-coding RNA (271 nucleotides) under uncultured fungus. Its description in RNAcentral is "partial contains small subunit ribosomal RNA, internal transcribed spacer 1, and 5.8S ribosomal RNA". The stretch from base 1 to 73 matches the Rfam family "Eukaryotic small subunit ribosomal RNA", at positions 1759 to 1831 of the family's 1831-position model. The record is from RNAcentral. Lineage: Eukaryota; Fungi.
UCAAACUUGGUCAUUUAGAGGAAGUAAAAGUCGUAACAAGGUUUCCGUAGGUGAACCUGCGGAAGGAUCAAUGCAGAUUGUUGGUGGGGGGUGGGGGGAGCAGGUGUUUUGUCUUGCUUCUCUCCACAUACGUUCGAGGUGGGGUUAAUUCGGUUAGCCCUGUCCCGUGACACAUUUACGCAAUAAUUGUUUGACAGAGUGAUAAACAAACUAAUUCUAUACAACUUUUAACAAUGGAUCUCUUGGCUCUUGCAUCGAUGAAGAACGCAGC